AUUGAACGCUGGCGGCAGGCUUAACACAUGCAAGUCGAGCGGGGUGAUGGUGCUUGCACUAUCACUUAGCGGCGGACGGGUGAGUAAUGCUUAGGAAUCUGCCUAUUAGUGGGGGACAACAUCUCGAAAGGGAUGCUAAUACCGCAUACGUCCUACGGGAGAAAGCAGGGGAUCACUUGUGACCUUGAGCUAAUAGAUGAGCCUAAGGCGGAUUAGCUAGUUGGUGGGGUAAAGGCCUACCAAGGCGACGAUCUGUGGCGGGUCUGAGAGGAUGAUCCGCCACACUGGGACUGAGACACGGCCCAGACUCCUACGGGAGGCAGCAGUGGGGAAUAUUGGACAAUGGGGGGAACCCUGAUCCAGCCAUGCCGCGUGUGUGAAGAAGGCCUUAUGGUUGUAAAGCACUUUAAGCGAGGAGGAGGCUCUUUUGGUUAAUACCCAAGAUGAGUGGACGUUACUCGCAGAAUAAGCACCGGCUAACUCUGUGCCAGCCGCCGCUGUAA
RNAcentral lists this ribosomal RNA (503 nucleotides) under uncultured bacterium. RNAcentral describes it as "partial 16S ribosomal RNA". It matches the Rfam family "Bacterial small subunit ribosomal RNA", at positions 30 to 523 of the family's 1533-position model. The record is from RNAcentral.